GUAGGUAUCUACCCUUUGGCCUGGAAUAACACGAGGAAACUUGUGCUAAUACCGGAUAAGUCUUUACGGAGAAAGCUUUAUGCACCAUUGGAUGAGCCUGCACUUGAUUAGUUUGUUGGUGGGGUAAUGGCCUACCAAGACUGUGAUCAAUAGCUGAUUUGAGAGGAUGAUCAGCCACAUUGGGACUGAGACACGGCCCAAACUCCUACGGGAGGCAGCAGUGGGGAAUCUUGCACAAUGGAGGAAACUCUGAUGCAGCGAUGCCGCGUGAGUGAAGAAGGCCCUUGGGUUGUAAAGCUCUUUCGUCGGGGAAGAAAAUGAC
RNAcentral lists this ribosomal RNA (322 nucleotides) under uncultured bacterium. RNAcentral's name for it is "bacterial SSU rRNA". It matches the Rfam family "Bacterial small subunit ribosomal RNA", at positions 117 to 455 of the family's 1533-position model. The record is from RNAcentral.